RNAcentral lists this ribosomal RNA (531 nucleotides) under fungal sp. SNB-LAP1-7-23. RNAcentral's name for it is "eukaryotic LSU rRNA". Lineage: Eukaryota; Fungi. The record is from RNAcentral.
ACCCUUUGUGACAUACCUACAACUGUUGCUUCGGCGGGUAGGGUCCCCGUGACCCUCCCGGCCUCCCGCCCCCCCGGGCGGGUCGGCGCCCGCCGGAGGAUAACCAAACUCUGAUUUAACGACGUUUCUUCUGAGUGGUACAAGCAAAUAAUCAAAACUUUUAACAACGGAUCUCUUGGUUCUGGCAUCGAUGAAGAACGCAGCGAAAUGCGAUAAGUAAUGUGAAUUGCAGAAUUCAGUGAAUCAUCGAAUCUUUGAACGCACAUUGCGCCCGCCAGCAUUCUGGCGGGCAUGCCUGUUCGAGCGUCAUUUCAACCCUCAAGCUCUGCUUGGUGUUGGGGCCCUACAGCUGAUGUAGGCCCUCAAAGGUAGUGGCGGACCCUCCCGGAGCCUCCUUUGCGUAGUAACUUUACGUCUCGCACUGGGAUCCGGAGGGACUCUUGCCGUAAAACCCCCCAAUUUUCCAAAGGUUGACCUCGGAUCAGGUAGGAAUACCCGCUGAACUUAAGCAUAUCAAAARGSSGGAGGAAA